This 135-nucleotide ribosomal RNA is filed under the name Pseudomonas sp. ok272. RNAcentral's name for it is "16S rRNA. Bacterial SSU". It matches the Rfam family "Bacterial small subunit ribosomal RNA", at positions 1 to 133 of the family's 1533-position model. The record is from RNAcentral. Lineage: Bacteria; Pseudomonadati; Pseudomonadota; Gammaproteobacteria; Pseudomonadales; Pseudomonadaceae.
UUGAACUGAAGAGUUUGAUCAUGGCUCAGAUUGAACGCUGGCGGCAGGCCUAACACAUGCAAGUCGAGCGGUAGAGAGAAGCUUGCUUCUCUUGAGAGCGGCGGACGGGUGAGUAAUACCUAGGAAUCUGCCUGG